RNAcentral lists this long non-coding RNA (583 nucleotides) under Malus domestica (apple). RNAcentral describes it as "long non-coding RNA (MDOM_LNC017617)". The record is from RNAcentral. Lineage: Eukaryota; Viridiplantae; Streptophyta; Magnoliopsida; Rosales; Rosaceae.
AAGUUUAUUGAAUUGAAACAUCGAAGACAUAAGAAAGAUUACACCUAAAAUGCCAAAGAAGUCCACUUUGAAAUCUGCACAGAAAGCUCCUCUUUCUUCUUCUCCUUGCUGCGGCAGAGAUGGUUUUGGGGGUUUUUGGAUGUGAUUUUUGAUGUAGGAAGGGAAUUAGGAUGGUAUGGGGGUGCGGCAAGGUGUGUGGGUGGUGUAUGGAGGUGUAGGAUGGUGUAUAGAGGUGGAGAAUGGUGGCUGGAAUGGAUGAAGGCUGCGGCAAAGUGGGGAAUAGGGUUUUGACGAAUUUCUGAAUAUGGAGAGGGAGAGAGUGUGCGGCUAGGGUGUAAGGGUGGUAUAAUAGGCACUUAGAAACCCUAAUGAAAUCAGAUUUUUAAUAAUGGGCUAGGGUUAGGUGCGGCACUUAAGUGGACUAGGGUUUAGGGUUUGUAAAAUAGGGCUUCUAGGUGGAAAGGUGCGGCUUGGGUUUAGGAGGAAUGGACUAGGGUUUAACAUGGCAUAUUUUAGAUGAUUAGGCCCUAGGGUUCGGCAUGGGUUGAAGGUCCACAAGGAAAUUUGGGUUUAGGUCAUCUAA